GUCCUUUAGAAUUUAAUUUAAGGUUUAACCUGCCCACUGAUUUAUUGAAGGGCCGCAGUAAUUUGACUGUGCAAAGGUAGCAUAAUCAUUAGUUUUUUAAUUAAAAGCUUGUAUGAAGGGUUGGACGAGGUAAAUUCUGUCUCUAAAUAAUUUAUUUUAGAAUUUAAUUUUUAAGUUAAAAAGCUUAGAUAUAUUUAAAAGACGAGAAGACCCUAUAGAUCUUUAUAUUAUAUUUAUUAAUUUGGUUAAAGAUUGAUUUAUUUUUUAAGUAAAUAUAUUAUUUUAUUGGGGUAAUAAAAAGAUUUAAGAAAUUCUUUUUUUAUUUAUACAUUGAUAGAUGAUUUUAUGAUCCAUUAUUAUUGAUUAAAAGAUUAAGUUACCUUAGGGAUAACAGCGUAAUUUUUUUUGAGAGUUCAUAUCGAUAAAAAAGUUUGCGACCUCGAUGUUGGAUUAAAAAUUAUUUUAGGUGUAGAAGCUUGAAAAUUUGGUCUGUUCGACCAUUAAAUUUUUACAUGAUCUGAGUUCAGACCGGUGUAAGCCAGGUCGGUUUCUAUCUUUAAAAAUUAAUAAUAUUUUAGUACGAAAGGACCAAAUAUUAAGUAUAUUUAUAUUUUAAGUUUUGAAUAU
Molecule: ribosomal RNA, 627 nt
Filed under: Ilybius minakawai
Lineage: Eukaryota; Metazoa; Arthropoda; Insecta; Coleoptera; Dytiscidae
Description: partial 16S ribosomal RNA
Rfam family: Bacterial large subunit ribosomal RNA
Source: RNAcentral